This 520-nucleotide unclassified non-coding RNA is filed under the name uncultured Entrophospora. Its description in RNAcentral is "SSU rRNA". It matches the Rfam family "Eukaryotic small subunit ribosomal RNA", at positions 569 to 1081 of the family's 1831-position model. Lineage: Eukaryota; Fungi; Glomeromycota; Glomeromycetes; Entrophosporales; Entrophosporaceae. The record is from RNAcentral.
AGCAGCCGCGGUAAUUCCAGCUCCAAUAGCGUAUAUUAAAGUUGUUGCAGUUAAAAGCUCGUAGUUGAAUUUCGGGAUUGACACAUCGGUCGUGCCUUAAGGGGUAUGAACUGGUGUAGUCAAUUUCUCACCUUCUGGAGAACCGCGAUGCCCUUAAUUGGGUGCCGCGGGGAACCAGGACCUUUACUUUGAAAAAUUAGAGUGUUUAAAGCAGGCAUUUUGCUUGAAUACAUUGGCAUGGAAUAAUAAAAUAGGACGGCAUGAUUCUAUUUUGUUGGUUUCUAGGAUCACCGUAAUGAUUAAUAGGGAUAGUUGGGGGCAUUAGUAUUCAAUUGUCAGAGGUGAAAUUCUUGGAUUUAUUGAAGACUAACUACUGCGAAAAGCAUUUACCAAGGAUGUUUUCAUUAAUCAAGAACGAAAGUUAGGGAUCGAAGACGAUCAGAUACCGUCGUAGUCUUAAACCAUAAACUAUAGACCGAACUAGGAAUACAGACGAUGUUAAUUUUUAAUGUACUCGUUU